GAAGGUAUAACUCAGUAGAGUGCAUGCUUAGUAUGCACGAGGUCCUGGGUUCAAUCCCCAGUACCUCUG
RNAcentral lists this transfer RNA (69 nucleotides) under Camelus bactrianus (Bactrian camel). It matches the Rfam family "tRNA". Rfam says of the family: Transfer RNA (tRNA) molecules are approximately 80 nucleotides in length. Their secondary structure includes four short double-helical elements and three loops (D, anti-codon, and T loops). RNAcentral also lists the same sequence under 1 other name. Lineage: Eukaryota; Metazoa; Chordata; Mammalia; Artiodactyla; Camelidae. The record is from Rfam by way of RNAcentral.